Non-coding RNA from Podarcis lilfordi (Lilford's wall lizard), 85 nucleotides. NCBI's taxonomy places the organism in Eukaryota, Metazoa, Chordata, Lepidosauria, Squamata, Lacertidae. The record is from the annotation of a GenBank genome assembly.
UGGGACCGCUGGCUCUGACAGUGUUGCACUACUGUCUUCACAAAUUAAGCAGUGCAAUAAUAUUGUCAAAGCAUUUGGUUCCAGU